UACGUAGGUGGCAAGCGUUAUCCGGAAUUAUUGGGCGUAAAGCGCGCGCAGGCGGUUCCUUAAGUCUGAUGUGAAAGCCCACGGCUCAACCGUGGAGGGUCAUUGGAAACUGGGGAACUUGAAUGCAGAAGAGGAAAGCGGAAUUCCAAGUGUAGCGGUGAAAUGCGUAGAGAUUUGGAGGAACACCAGUGGCGAAGGCGGCUUUCUGGUCUGUAAUUGACGCUGAGGCGCGAAAGCGUGGGGAGCAAACAGG
This 253-nucleotide ribosomal RNA is filed under the name uncultured bacterium. Its description in RNAcentral is "partial 16S ribosomal RNA". It matches the Rfam family "Bacterial small subunit ribosomal RNA", at positions 524 to 776 of the family's 1533-position model. The record is from RNAcentral.